GACGAACGCUGGCGGCGCGCCUAACACAUGCAAGUCGAACGGAGUGUUUUCACGGAAGUUUUCGGAUGGAAGUGGUUACACUUAGUGGCGGACGGGUGAGUAACACGUGAGCAACCUGCCUUUCAGAGGGGGAUAACAGUUGGAAACGACUGCUAAUACCGCAUAACGUUGAGGAGAGACAUCUCCCCGCAACCAAAGGAGCAAUCCGCUGAAAGAUGGGCUCGCGUCCGAUUAGCUGGAUGGCGGGGUAACGGCCCACCAUGGCGACGAUCGGUAGCCGGACUGAGAGGUUGAACGGCCACAUUGGGACUGAGACACGGCCCAGACUCCUACGGGAGGCAGCAGUGGGGGAUAUUGCACAAUGGGCGAAAGCCUGAUGCAGCGACGCCGCGUGAGGGAAGACGGUCUUCGGAUUGUAAACCUCUGUCUUAGGGGAAGAAAAUGACGGUACCCUAAGAGGAAGCUCCGGCUAACUACGUGCCAGCAGCCGCAGU
This 494-nucleotide ribosomal RNA is filed under the name uncultured bacterium. RNAcentral describes it as "bacterial SSU rRNA". It matches the Rfam family "Bacterial small subunit ribosomal RNA", at positions 28 to 521 of the family's 1533-position model. The record is from RNAcentral.